UACGUAGGGUGCAAGCGUUAAUCGGAAUUACUGGGCGUAAAGCGUGCGCAGGCGGCUUUGCAAGACAGAUGUGAAAUCCCCGGGCUUAACCUGGGAACUGCAUUUGUGACUGCAUGGCUGGAGUGCGGCAGAGGGGGAUGGAAUUCCGCGUGUAGCAGUGAAAUGCGUAGAUAUGCGGAGGAACACCGAUGGCGAAGGCAGCCCCCUGGGCUAACACUGACGCUCAGGCACGAAAGCGUGGGGAGCAAACGGG
RNAcentral lists this ribosomal RNA (253 nucleotides) under uncultured bacterium. RNAcentral describes it as "partial 16S ribosomal RNA". It matches the Rfam family "Bacterial small subunit ribosomal RNA", at positions 524 to 776 of the family's 1533-position model. The record is from RNAcentral.